Molecule: long non-coding RNA, 1559 nt
Organism: Oncorhynchus kisutch (coho salmon)
Lineage: Eukaryota; Metazoa; Chordata; Actinopteri; Salmoniformes; Salmonidae
Exons: 2
Source: RefSeq, a predicted model, not a curated record
AGAGAUACAGAGACAGAUAGAUACAGAGAGAGAGAGAUACAGAGACAGAUAGAUACAGAGAGAUACAAAGAGAGAGAGAGAUACAGAGAGAGAGCCCAGCACAUGCUGGAUAUGUUGAAUUGAAACUAUUCCAUUACUGUCUCCAUUUUCACCAUCAACAGUACAGCCAGAAUGAUAUCACAACUUUAACCCUACCCCCAAGCCAACAGGUUAAUGAUAUCACAACUUUAACCCUACCCCCAAGCCAACAGCCAGAAUGAUAUCACAACUUUAACCCUACCCCCAAGCCAACAGGUUAAUGAUAUCACAACUUUAACCCUACCCCCAAGCCAACAGGUUAAUGAUAUCACAACUUUAACCCUACCCCCAAGCCAACAGGGUAAUGAUAUCACAACUUUAACCCUACCCCCAAGCCAACAGGUUAAUGAUAUCACAACUUUAACCCAACCCCCAAGCCAACAGGUUAAUGAUAUCACAACUUUAACCCUACCCCCAAGCCAACAGGUUAAUGAUAUCACAACUUUAACCCUACCCCCAAGCCAACAGGUUAAUGAUAUCACAACUUUAACCCAACCCCCAAGCCAACAGCCAGAAUGAUAUCACAACUUUAACCCUACCCCCAAGCCAACAGGGUAAUGAUAUCACAACUUUAACCCAACCCCCAAACCAACAGCCAGAAUGAUAUCACAACUUUAACCCUACCCCCAAGCCAACAGCCAGAAUGAUAUCACAACUUUAACCCUACCCCCAAGCCAACAGGUUAAUGAUAUCACAACUUUAACCCUACCCCCAAGCAAACAGCCAGAAUGAUAUUCACAACUUUAACCCUACCCCCAAGCCAACAGGUUAAUGAUAUCACAACUUUAACCCUACCCCCAAGCCAACAGGUUAAUGAUAUCACAACUUUAACCCAACCCCCAAGCCAACAGGUUAAUGAUAUCACAACUUUAACCCUACCCCCAAGCCAACAGGUUAAUGAUAUCACAACUUUAACCCUACCCCCAAGCCAACAGGUUAAUGAUAUCACAACUUUAACCCAACCCCCAAGCCAACAGGUUAAUGAUAUCACAACUUUAACCCUACCCCCAAGCAAACAGCCAGAAUGAUAUUCACAACUUUAACCCUACCCCCAAGCCAACAGGUUAAUGAUAUCACAACUUUAACCCUACCCCCAAGCCAACAGGUUAAUGAUAUCACAACUUUAACCCAACCCCCAAGCCAACAGGUUAAUGAUAUCACAACUUUAACCCUACCCCCAAGCCAACAGGUUAAUGAUAUCACAACUUUAACCCUACCCCCAAGCCAACAGGUUAAUGAUAUCACAACUUUAACCCAACCCCCAAGCCAACAGGUUAAUGAUAACUUUAACCCAACCCCCAAGCCAACAGCCAGGAUGAUAUCACAACUUUAACCCUACCCCCAAGCCAACAGGUUAAUGAUAUCACAACUUUAACCCUACCCCCAAGCCAACAGCCAGGAUGAUAUCACAACUUUAACCCUACCCCCAAGCCAACAGGUUAAUGAUAACUUUAACCCUACCCCCAAGCCAACAGGUUAAU